Molecule: ribosomal RNA, 300 nt
Filed under: Triticum aestivum (bread wheat)
Lineage: Eukaryota; Viridiplantae; Streptophyta; Magnoliopsida; Poales; Poaceae
Description: partial small subunit ribosomal RNA
Source: RNAcentral
GUGGGAUGUAAUCGUCUUGUUAUUAACUCGGACAAUCUAGAGGUGAUUGAUACCAUGAAGGAUGGAGGACGAUUGACACGUGUGGAGGCGACAGUUUUUUAUGACUAUUUUCAUUUUGCUUGAGAUUUUCCUAUUUCUAUGUUCGAGCAUUGUAAUAGACAAGCAAAUAAAGUUGUUCAUGAGCUUGGUAGGUUGGCCAGAUUUUCUUAAAUUUCUGAUUGGUUUGAACCUUUAAAAGAAAUUGUACUGAUCCUCAUAAAUGAUAUAAAGAUUUUUAAAAUAAAUAAAGCUUGUGUUUAA